Molecule: unclassified non-coding RNA, 266 nt
Filed under: Hevea brasiliensis (rubber tree)
Lineage: Eukaryota; Viridiplantae; Streptophyta; Magnoliopsida; Malpighiales; Euphorbiaceae
Source: RNAcentral
CGGAGCAAUGUUAUCAGUCUGUACAAACUAUUCCCAAAGGAAAGUUCUGACGGGCAAGAAAUUCUAACUUUAGUUAACUGUUGAACGACUACUGUAUCUUUCCUGUAAUUUAAUACCCAUUUUCAGCCACCUGGAGUAAGNGUUGUGUUCUUGUUGCACCCUUGACUUCACUUUUUUCCAUUUUUCUUCUGCUGCGCCAGAGUAGACGAAUGGGCGUACCAGAAAAUCCUGCAUUUGAUCUCAGUUGUUUCUCCAUAUAGCGCCGG